This 500-nucleotide ribosomal RNA is filed under the name uncultured bacterium. RNAcentral describes it as "partial 16S ribosomal RNA". It matches the Rfam family "Bacterial small subunit ribosomal RNA", at positions 30 to 523 of the family's 1533-position model. The record is from RNAcentral.
AUUGAACGCUGGCGGAAUGCUUUACACAUGCAAGUCGAACGGCAGCACGGACUUCGGUCUGGUGGCGAGUGGCGAACGGGUGAGUAAUGUAUCGGAACGUGCCUAGUCGUGGGGGAUAACGUAGUGAAAAUUACGCUAAUACCGCAUACGAUCUAUGGAUGAAAGCGGGGGAUCGCAAGACCUCGCGCGAUUGGAGCGGCCGAUAUCAGAUUAGGUAGCUGGUGGGGUAAAGGCCCACCAAGCCAACGAUCUGUAGCUGGUCUGAGAGGACGACCAGCCAAACUGGAAAUGGGACACGGUCCAGACUCCUACGGGAGGAAGCAGUGGGGAAUUUUGGACAAUGGGCGAAAGCCUGACCCAGCCAUUCCGCGUGCAGGAUGAGGGCCCUCGGGUUGUAAACUGCUUUUGUACAGAACGAAAAGGUUUCUACUAAUACUAGGAGCUCAUGACGGUACUGUAAGAAUAAGCACCGGCUAACUACGUGCCAGCAGCCGCGGUAA